Molecule: transfer RNA, 72 nt
Filed under: Neocallimastix californiae
Lineage: Eukaryota; Fungi; Neocallimastigomycota; Neocallimastigomycetes; Neocallimastigales; Neocallimastigaceae
Also listed under: 1 other name
Rfam family: tRNA
About the family: Transfer RNA (tRNA) molecules are approximately 80 nucleotides in length.
Source: Rfam by way of RNAcentral
GGCUCAAUGGUUUAGUGGUAUAAUUCUUGCUUAGGGUGCGAGAGGUCCCGGGUUCAAUUCCCGGUUGAGCCC